RNAcentral lists this ribosomal RNA (853 nucleotides) under uncultured beta proteobacterium. RNAcentral's name for it is "bacterial SSU rRNA". It matches the Rfam family "Bacterial small subunit ribosomal RNA", at positions 31 to 874 of the family's 1533-position model. Lineage: Bacteria; Pseudomonadati; Pseudomonadota; Betaproteobacteria. The record is from RNAcentral.
GAACGCUGGCGGAAUGCUUUACACAUGCAAGUCGAACGGCAGCAUAGAGAGCUUGCUCUCUGAUGGCGAGUGGCGAACGGGUGAGUAAUAUAUCGGAACGUGCCUAGUAAUGGGGAAUAACUAACUGAAAGGUUAGCUAAUGCCGCAUACGACCUACGGGUGAAAGCAGGGGAUCUUCGGACCUUGCGUUAUUAGAGCGGCCGAUAUCUGAUUAGCUUGUUGGUGGGGUAAUGGCCUACCAAGGCGACGAUCAGUAGCUGGUCUGAGAGGACGAUCAGCCACACUGGAACUGAGACACGGUCCAGACUCCUACGGGAGGCAGCAGUGGGGAAUUUUGGACAAUGGGGGCAACCCUGAUCCAGCCAUUCCGCGUGAGUGAAGAAGGCCUUCGGGUUGUAAAGCUCUUUCGCAAGAGAAGAAAACUUACUAUCUAAUAAAUAGUAAGUAUGACGGUAUCUUGACAAGAAGCACCGGCUAACUACGUGCCAGCAGCCGCGGUAAUACGUAGGGUGCAAGCGUUAAUCGGAAUUACUGGGCGUAAAGCGUGCGCAGGCAGUUUUAUAAGUCAGAUGUGAAAUCCCCGAGCUCAACUUGGGAACUGCGUUUGAAACUGUAAGACUAGAGUGUGUCAGAGGGGGGUAGAAUUCCAAGUGUAGCAGUGAAAUGCGUAGAGAUUUGGAGGAAUACCAAUGGCGAAGGCAGCCCCCUGGGAUAACACUGACGCUCAUGCACGAAAGCGUGGGGAGCAAACAGGAUUAGAUACCCUGGUAGUCCACGCCCUAAACGAUGUCUACUAGUUGUUGGUGGAGUAAAAUCCAUGAGUAACGCAGCUAACGCGUGAAGUAGACCGCCU